UAGUCCACGCCGUAAACGAUGGUCACUAGCUGUGUGGAUUUCGGUCUGCGUGGCUAAGCGAAAGUGAUAAGUGACCCACCUGGGGAGUACGUUCGCAAGAAUGAAACUCAAGGGAAUUGACGGGGGCCCGCACAAGCGGAGGAGCAUGUGGUUUAAUUCGAUGAUACGCGAGGAACCUUACCAAGGCUUAAAUGUAAUAUGACCGGUUGAGAGAUCAACCUUUUUUCGAACAGAUUACAAGGUGCUGCAUGGUUGUCGUCAGCUCGUGCCGUGAGGUGUCGGGUUAAGUCCCAUAACGAGCGCAACCCCUAUUUUUAGUUACCAGCGAGUAAUGUCGGGAACUCUAGAAAAACUGACCUGUGCAAACAGAGAGGAAGUGGGGAUGACGUCAAAUCAUCACGGCCCUUAUGUCUUGGGGCUACACACGUGCUACAAUGGGUUACUACAAUGU
Molecule: ribosomal RNA, 451 nt
Filed under: uncultured bacterium
Lineage: Bacteria
Description: bacterial SSU rRNA
Rfam family: Bacterial small subunit ribosomal RNA
Source: RNAcentral